CCAUAGUUGUUCACCCGAGCCUUCACUGUGGUCAAGGGGUCAAGUGCAUGCUGUGUGCCAAUAGUCAAUGUGUUCUCAUUGCUUGAAAAACUGUGUGUCAGCUCUGCACCAACAGCUGUAUUAGUCAAUGGGCUCACUGCGUGGUAAUAGGAAGCAGUAAGAGUAUCCCCUUUAUCAUUCAAUGUGAGAGAAGCAAUAAGAUCAGCAUUGGUAUAAUUCAACCCUGCAUUCAAUUU
This 236-nucleotide unclassified non-coding RNA is filed under the name Hevea brasiliensis (rubber tree). The record is from RNAcentral. Lineage: Eukaryota; Viridiplantae; Streptophyta; Magnoliopsida; Malpighiales; Euphorbiaceae.